ACAACAGGUCUUUCUUUCCUUCACCCCCCAAAACAAGUCUAUUUUUCUUGUUUGUUGUCUCUGUCUCCUUAAUCUCUAUAUACAGUCUUUUGAACUUUUAUUAAUCAGGAUACUGAAGUUUUUUUUUUUUUUUUUUUUUGUUUUUGUCUCUUUUGGUGUUUGUUUAGCAAAGAUGAGUGACCCAAAGUAUGCUUAUCCUUACCCUGCUCAAGGUUAUUAUCAAGGACCUCCAGUGAUGGCGCCUCCGCAAUAUGCUGCUCCUCCACCCAGAAGACAGCCUGGUUUCCUUGAAGGAUGCCUUGCAGCUUUGUGUUGCUGUUGCCUUAUUGAUGAAUGUUGCUGUGACCCAUCCAUCAUCUUUGUUAGCUGAGAAAGCUGUAACUUGUAACCAAAACAAAAGGAAAGAAUAUGACCAAAAAAAAAAAAAACGAAAGAAAAGAAAGCUGCAACUUUGCUGCACAAAUAGUUCUACUUUGUUUGAUACAAAUGUAAUGUCAUGUGCGGUGUUGUUUCUUUAGGAAUAUUUCAAUCUAAUUUUCUACUAUUUUAUCAUGCA
This is a long non-coding RNA of Ricinus communis (castor bean), 556 nucleotides long. RefSeq lists it as uncharacterized. Lineage: Eukaryota; Viridiplantae; Streptophyta; Magnoliopsida; Malpighiales; Euphorbiaceae. The record is from RefSeq and is a predicted model, not a curated record. The transcript has 3 exons.